RNAcentral lists this transfer RNA (66 nucleotides) under human gut metagenome. It matches the Rfam family "tRNA", at positions 6 to 65 of the family's 71-position model. Rfam says of the family: Transfer RNA (tRNA) molecules are approximately 80 nucleotides in length. Their secondary structure includes four short double-helical elements and three loops (D, anti-codon, and T loops). The record is from RNAcentral.
UGGUGUGGCUCAGUCGGUAGAGCAGCUGAUUCGUAAUCAGCAGGUCGCCGGUUCAAGUCCGGCCAG